GGCACUAGUAGAAAAAACCCCUGUUGCAGCCCCCUUGUUGCAGCGUACAUGUAUAAAUACGCUUCAACAACCAGUCGGUCAACGCGGGUCAAACCCUUUAAAGGGUUAUCGCAGCGUACAUUUUAGUUGUUCGCAGCAAAUGUGUUUGUUGCAGCGUACAAAAUAAAAGCCCGCAGCAACAACCCGACUUUGUUGCAGCGUACAUGUUAUUGCCCGCUGCAACAAGUCCGCGUUUCAAAAAAAUUUACUUUCCUAUGCAACAAACCGCGCUCAAACGAGCGGGCUCAAACGUACGUUGUUCUUUCUCUGCUCCAAGAUUUUUCCCUUAAACAAAUAUCCAAACAAACCGUCGAACUCAGCCGUCGAACUCAGCCCUGCGUCGCCGUCGAACUCAGCCCUACGUCGCCGUCGAACCCAAGCGUUGCUCAGCCCUGCGUCGCUGUCUUCGCCGGUGUGUGGUGUUCUAGCCUCAUCUCCCCCAUCCCGUUCAAUUCUCGCGCGGCCUGUCACUGAAAGGUUAUAUUCUUGGUCGGCCGGGGGUUCAGCAUUUCCCCGUCGCGUCGUGGUUCCGGUGGUUGCUCGGCGUCGUGGUUCCGGUGGUUUUGCUAUGGUCCAAGACGAGCUUGUUUCUUCCAUUAAAGAUGCAGCGGAAGGACUUUUUCACCUAAAACGUGCCCGGCUGUUACGUGAAGUUGAUUCAGCUGUGCAGGACUCUAUAUAUUCCCAUAAAGACGCUGCGGUCGAGCUUAUAAAUCCAGCAAAGUUGGGUGGUUCCCAACUUCCGUGCGAAGACUUAGAGGUAGAACCAUUAGAUUCUACUAAUGUUGAGGCAGAAAUAUUGGGAGACCCAAGUUAUUUUAUUGGAUCAAAAUGUAGAUUCCGCCACACCGAUGGGCGUUGGUAUAAUGGUCAAAUUGUUCAGUUGGAUGGUUCUUCUUCCGCCAGAGUUUCUUUCCUCAAUCCAACGUCAGAGAAGAUGAUGCAAAAUGUAGACCCCUGAGUUCAAGCUAGUGGGGAUAGGGCAGAAGCAAUGUCAUUAUCAUUCGAGUGACAGAUCGAAGGAGACUGAUCAUAAGACUCUACGAAGGCUUGCUCAGAACUGUGAGGCAGCAAGGAAAAGCCGGUUGAGGAAAAAAGUCUACACUCCGAGGAUUGCGCCUUAUGCGAGGAAUUUGAUGUGGUUCGUGAGCAAUGGGCUAAGUUUUUUACCAACAAGUAUUUAUUAUUGGCUUUAGCGCGCUUGAUCGAGUUGGUUUAGUUGUUAUAGAAUAAAUUUUAUAUUAAAAUGUAUGUUUAUGUUGAAAUUGGAACAUAUAUUUAAAUGUAAUAUGUGCACUUUGGUUUUGGGAUAUAUAGUAUACAAAACUCCAGUUGUUGUUUUUAUA
Spinacia oleracea (spinach) is the source of this 1385-nucleotide long non-coding RNA. RefSeq lists it as uncharacterized. Lineage: Eukaryota; Viridiplantae; Streptophyta; Magnoliopsida; Caryophyllales; Amaranthaceae. The transcript is spliced from 5 exons. The record is from RefSeq and is a predicted model, not a curated record.